Long non-coding RNA from Ctenopharyngodon idella (grass carp), 2949 nucleotides. RefSeq lists it as uncharacterized. Lineage: Eukaryota; Metazoa; Chordata; Actinopteri; Cypriniformes; Xenocyprididae. The transcript is spliced from 3 exons. The record is from RefSeq and is a predicted model, not a curated record.
CAGUGACUACCUACACGUUCGCGUUGCGUCACACAACGGAGUUUCCGAGUUUAAAGUCAAGUGACCUUCUAUUACACACUAUUUAAAUGUUGGAAAUUCAAGUUGAGUGAAACACACAAGCUACUUCAGCACUACAAUGUUAAUUUGCUGUGAAGACGGUGAUUUGUUCUGAAGAAGCAUUGACAUCUUUUCUUCAGAAGGUGGCAGCAUUCAAUAAGUCUGAUAAACUAAACUAAAACCAUGACAACACUUGCAACAGCCUACAUAACACGUGAAAUUGCACACCAAAGUGGGCACAAACAUAGUCAUACUUCACUAGCCUGCAGUUAGCCUAUUUUUGUGUCACCAAAACAGCAGAGGUGACCGCCUCAUACUGUGUAUGACAUCAUCCUUCCUGUUAUCAGAGUCUCCCAGCUCCAUCUGUUAAUCACACCCAUGGGGAGAAGAGUACAGUACAAUAUCACAAGCCCUUAUUUACAGGUACCAAACAACACCCAUGAUUGUUUCCAUUGUGCAGGACUCAGGGUCUGUUUUCAUGACUAUAAACUUACAUUCUAGUUCAUUGUCUCCCUAAUUUUCAUGGAUGAGCUGGGGAAAAUGUUCUCUACGGACAAUAAAUGAUAGCCUUAAAGUCAAUAUGAAAUCAAAAUGGACAAUUCUUGGGUUGUUUAUGAAAUAUUAAAAUAUUAUAUUUCAAAAAUUCAUGUGCUCUCAUAAUCUUUUAUCAAAAUAAAUUCCCCUCCCACUUGCAGAGACAUCUCUUCUCAUCUCUGAUGACGUUUAACCGUACGAAAGUGGGACAACCUGUCACUCACAUGAGACCACAGCAAUAAGCUAGCAAACCACAACUACCCAAUCAAUUUCCAAUGGACAAAAUCAAGCCCCGCCCUACAUUUUUUUCAUGUUCAAGAAGCCCAGUGUUCCCAAGUCCGCGUUAUUUCCGCGGAAUUGGGCUACAUUUACACUGUUGCUGCGGGUUGUUUUUAAUAUCCCCAAAUAACAUAACAUUUAGCCCCUGGGAUGUGAAUUUUUUUUAAUAUGCAACUAAAUUUAACGGACAUAUUCAAAGCCUCAGACAAAAAGCUAGUCGAAAGUCCUGUUCUCUUUUGUUUGCGUUGCAGUUCUGUCAUGUUUGUUUGUUGUACUGUCUAUUGCAGCACUUUUUGUGUUGUAAUGGAUAAUUGAUGUACAGAAGGCAAUGUAAUUCUCAGGUGGCUGCAGACAGCAGAUGGGAAGAGGUCACUCUGCUGGCUGAUAUUUCCAUUCUGCAGCACCAGUGACCCUUUGUCAUCCUCUAUGUGUACACUCCCUUCGCAUCCCCUUCGUCUCUCCCGUCCUCGUGGCAAUCAUACGCUCCGUUGUUUUAUAAAGGGCUCAGAUUUGGCUGCUGUGUAGGGUAGAAUGUACCAAGCCAUUGGACGUUUUCCAUCAGGGAUCACUUAUUCACCUGAGGCCUGAGAGGAAUGCAAUCAGAGGAUGAUGGAACGACAACUGUACAGAUAUGAUGGCAAAGAGUUGGCAGGUGACUUUCAGCGCAUACUAAGAGAGACUGCGAUUUAUGAAUACUCAGCAAUAAGGAGCAUAAUUUGCAUGACCAGAGGGUAUCUGGCAUCAGUACGGGGGACAAGCUUAACUCUCUGAGGUGGCUGAACUCUCACUUUCGGAACCAUCCCUUUAAAUCAGGGUGGAGUUGGGGUUUGUAAGGGGAGACUAUAGAGUCAAAGUCAACAUAAGGUCACACAUAAAUGCUUACAGUGAUGUCAGGGAAUGCUGAUACUGCAAAUGUUUCCUCCUCUGAAGCAUGUGCUACAACACAGAAAUUAGGUCAACAGAAAUAUGAUGGAGUGGGGCUGUCUUUGAUGCUGUCCUUUAACCCAUAAAUACUGCAUUGAGGGUGGGAGCAGAUACAGCUACUCAUGGUGGAGAGGGACGACUGGAAAGCGAGAGGUAAGGAUUGAUGGCUUUUCUCUGUAGCCUGGCACUUUUAUUGUCCAGGGACACCUGAUAAGGGCCAGAGGUUCCCUUCAUCCCAUAAUCAAGCUGUACCACAGAUACCACAGGAACAUCAUCGUCCCAUUUGAACAGGAAGUGAGAAUCUGCCAUGGUCAAAUCAUCUGUGCUCUAUUCAUCACAGCUGUCUUCAAAUGUCAGCACUGAGGGAAAGUGAUGAAGUAUAUGUUCAAGCUAAGCAACUCACUUAACACAUAAUGCUCAUUAUGUGCAGAUCUGGAGUUAAAAAUGAAAUGCUUUGCUUAAAUAUGGCUCUUGCGACAUGAUUAAAUUAAAAUAAUAUAUCAAAUAAACAUGGUUCAAAAUGUCUAAAAUGCUUAUUUUCUCUCAUUCGAAAUGUAAAAAUUGGCUUGACGUAUCGGAGAGUACAGACAACUGCCUGAUUAUUAAUCUCAGAGUACUGGCUGGGAAACUAAAAACACACCGCAAGCCAAUUGAAACUGUUAAUUAGGUCCUAAGAGAAAUCUCCUCUAGUGCAAAAUCACAGCACACAAUUCAUUUAUCAGAUAAUUAACAAUGCUGGAAUAUUUUUAAUAUCUGUGAAAGUUUGCUUCUCCUAUUUGUAACCCAUAGUAUUUCAAGUAAAAUGUUACGUCACAUUUAUGUCACGUCAAAAUUAAACUUAAAAUGGCCUGAAAUUGAAAACAUGAUGACUGUGGGGGUUUUUUAGUGAGCAAUCAGCUUGGUGAAAUUAAAGUUACAUCAUCCCCUGUUUUGAUGACUUAUGACCAAAGCUUGAUGACUGAUAAUAGUUGACUGUUAAAAAUAACAGCUGCACAUAAGUUCACAAAUAAAAUAUAUUGUUUAAAUUAUUACUGCCUUUUUGGAAUAGAUGUAAAAAUGCUUAAAACACUAACUUGAUUUAUACUUGGUUUUAAUAAAUAGAGCAUUAAUAACAUUGUUAAAGUAAAAAUACAACAUUUUUUACCAGGAAAAUGU